RNAcentral lists this ribosomal RNA (496 nucleotides) under uncultured bacterium. RNAcentral's name for it is "partial 16S ribosomal RNA". It matches the Rfam family "Bacterial small subunit ribosomal RNA", at positions 29 to 507 of the family's 1533-position model. The record is from RNAcentral.
AUGAACGCUGGCGGCGUGCCUAAUACAUGCAAGUCGCGCGAACAGACGAGGAGCUUGCUCCUCUGACGUUAGCGGCGGACGGGUGAGUAACACGUGGAUAACCUACCUAUAAGACUGGGAUAACUUCGGGAAACUGGAGCUAAUACCGGAUAAUAUAUUGAACCGCAUGGUUCAAUAGUGAAAGACGGUUUUGCUGUCACUUAUAGAUGGAUCCGCGCCGCAUUAGCUAGUUGGUAAGGUAACGGCUUACCAAGGCGACGAUGCGUAGCCGACCUGAGAGGGUGAUCGGCCACACUGGAACUGAGACACGGUCCAGACUCCUACGGGAGGCAGCAGUAGGGAAUCUUCCGCAAUGGGCGAAAGCCUGACGGAGCAACGCCGCGUGAGUGAUGAAGGUCUUCGGAUCGUAAAACUCUGUUAUUAGGGAAGAACAAAUGUGUAAGUAACUAUGCACGUCUUGACGGUACCUAAUCAGAAAGCCACGGCUAACUACGUG